This 73-nucleotide transfer RNA is filed under the name Rattus norvegicus (Norway rat). It matches the Rfam family "tRNA". From Rfam's summary of the family: Transfer RNA (tRNA) molecules are approximately 80 nucleotides in length. Their secondary structure includes four short double-helical elements and three loops (D, anti-codon, and T loops). The record is from Rfam by way of RNAcentral. Lineage: Eukaryota; Metazoa; Chordata; Mammalia; Rodentia; Muridae.
AGAGAGAUGGCUCAGCAGUUAAGAGCACUAACUGCUCUUCCAGAGGUCCUGGGUUCGAUUCCCAGUAUCCAUA